Molecule: ribosomal RNA, 2106 nt
Filed under: Cunea profundata
Lineage: Eukaryota; Discosea; Flabellinia; Dactylopodida; Paramoebidae
Description: bacterial SSU rRNA
Rfam family: Eukaryotic small subunit ribosomal RNA
Source: RNAcentral
CUGGUUGAUUCUGCCAGUAACAUAUGCUUGUCUUAAAGGCUAAGCCAUGCAUGUCUAAGUAUAAACAAUUCUAUACUGUGAAACUGCGAAUGGCUCAUUACAUCAGCAAUCGUUUAUUUGAUAGUAACUUUACCCUGGAUAACCGUGGUAAACCUAGAGCUAAUACAUGCGCAAUAUCCCUGACUGGCAACGGAAGGGGAUGUAUUUAUUAGAUAAAAAACCAAUGCGGGCUGCUUUCGGGUAGCUCGGUAGCUGGGUGAUUCAUAAUAACUUGUCGAAUCGUUCAUGGCCUUUUUGAGCCUACGAUGGUUCAUUCAAAUUUCUGCCCUAUCAACUUUGUAGGUAGUAUAGAGGACUACCUAGGUGGUAACGGGUAACGGAGAACCAGGGUUCGAUUCCGGAGAGGGAGCCUGAGAAACGGCUACCACUUUCAAGGAAGGCAGCAGGCGCGCAAAUUACCCAAUCCUGACACAGGGAGGUAGUGACAAUAAAUAACAAUAUAGCUCUUUUACAAGUGCUAUAAUUGGAAUGAGUACAAUCUAAACCCCUUAACGAGUAUCAAUUGGAGGGCAAGUCUGGUGCCAGCAGCCGCGGUAAUUCCAGCUCCAAUAGCGUAUCUUAACGUUGUUGCGGUUAAAAAGCUCGUAGUUGGAUUUUGGAGUGGGGUCGGUCAGGUCCGCCGCGAAGGUGUGCACCGGCCGCUGCCCAACUCUCAGCCUACCGGAAACUCGCUGCGCCGCUUAGUUGUGGCGUGGUUUGCUGCUCGCGAGGGUGGCUGCGCCGCGUGGAGUGCGGGCGGCUAGGAUUUUUUGUGGGCGUGUGUGCAGUUUUCGGGUGUGCGGAGGCGCAAGGGGCACUUCGGUGCUACUCGCCUCGCCUCCCAGGUGCGCAUGCGCUCUGCCUAGUCGCCUUCCGCGUUUUCGGUGGAGUUCCGGUUCGUUUACUGUGAAUAAAUUAGAGUGUUUCACGCAGGCCAGUUGACGCCUUGAAUACUUUAGCAUGGGAUAAUGGAAGAGGACAGCGGUUCUAUUUUGUUGGUUUCUAGGACUGUUGUAAUGAUUAAAAGGGAUAGUUGGGGAGCUCAGUAUUGAAUUGUCAGAGGUGAAAUUCUUGGAUUUAUGUAAGACUAACUUCUGCGAAAGCAUUGCUCAAGGAUGUUUUCAUUAAUCAAGAACGAAAGUUAGGGGAUCGAAGACGAUCAGAUACCGUCGUAGUCUUAACCAUAAACUAUGCCGACCAGGGAUUGGGAGACGUUACACGUAUGACUCCCCCAGCACCUUACGAGAAAUCACAAGUUUUUGGGCUCCGGGGGAAGUAUGGUCGCAAGGCUGAAACUUAAAGGAAUUGACGGAAGGGCACCACCAGGAGUGGAGCCUGCGGCUUAAUUUGACUCAACACGGGGAAACUUACCAGGUCCGGACACAGCGAGGAUUGACAGAUUGAUAGCUCUUUCUUGAUUCUGUGGGUGGUGGUGCAUGGCCGUUCUUAGUUGGUGGAGUGAUUUGUCUGGUUGAUUCCGUUAACGAACGAGACCUCAGCCUACUAAUUAGUGCUGCGAAUCCGUACGCUUGUGGCAUCCCCGUCGGUUUAGCGGUGGCGCCUCCGGGCCGACUGCGGUCGACGGUGUUUUUGGUGCCGUUCAGAUUCGACAGCGACUUCUUAGAGGGGCUAUUCGUAUCAAGCGAAAGGAAGUAUGAGUCUAAAACAGGUCUGUGAUGCCCUUUAGAUGUUCUGGGCUGCACGCGCGCUACACUGACGAGCUCAACGAGUUUUCGCGAGCCGCUUCGGCGCGCUCGGAACCUUGGCCGAGAGGUCUGGGUAAACUUUUGAGUGCUUGUCGUGCUGGGGAUAGAUGAUUGCAAUUAUUCGUCUUCAACGAGGAAUUCCUAGUAAGCGCAAGUCAUCAGCUUGCGCUGAUUACGUCCCUGCCCUUUGUACACACCGCCCGUCGCUCCUACCGAUGAAUGAUCCGGUGAAUUCGUAGGAUAGCGAGCAAAUGCCGUCUGGCGACAGACGGUUUGCUUGUCAGAAUACGUGUGAAUCAUGUCAUUUAGAGGAAGGAGAAGUCGUAACAAGGUAUCCGUAGGUGAACCUGCAGAAGGAUCA